Molecule: ribosomal RNA, 427 nt
Filed under: uncultured bacterium
Lineage: Bacteria
Description: partial 16S ribosomal RNA
Rfam family: Bacterial small subunit ribosomal RNA
Source: RNAcentral
GUGGGGAAUAUUGGGCAAUGGGGGAAACCCUGACCCAGCAACGCCGCGUGAAGGAAGAAGGCUUUCGGGUUGUAAACUUCUUUUAUGAGGGACGAAGAAGUGACGGUACCUCAUGAAUAAGCCACGGCUAACUACGUGCCAGCAGCCGCGGUAAUACGUAGGUGGCAAGCGUUGUCCGGAUUUACUGGGUGUAAAGGGCGCGUAGGCGGGAUAGCAAGUCAGGUGUGAAAUCCGGGGGCUUAACCCUCGAACUGCACUUGAAACUGUUAUUCUUGAGUGAUGGAGAGGCAAGCGGAAUUCCUAGUGUAGCGGUGAAAUGCGUAGAUAUUAGGAGGAACACCAGUGGCGAAGGCGGCUUGCUGGACAUUAACUGACGCUGAGGCGCGAAAGCGUGGGGAGCAAACAGGAUUAGAUACCCUAGUAGUCC